Molecule: non-coding RNA, 381 nt
Organism: Camellia sinensis
Lineage: Eukaryota; Viridiplantae; Streptophyta; Magnoliopsida; Ericales; Theaceae
Source: RefSeq, a predicted model, not a curated record
CUAAUUUCUAUUUGAAUAGGUUUAAGGAUGAUGAAGAUGGCAGUUGGAAUUGUGAUAUCAAAUUUCUGUCACCCUUUUCUUAACUCUCAAUGCGGAACUGUUAAUACUGAGAACAUUGUAAUUUCGCAAAAUUAAGAUGAGAGACUAUUGUGGUUAUUAGUUAAUAUCAAUUUUAAAAUAUAGCAUAUAUAUAUAUAUAUUUUUAUAAUAUCAAAUUUUCAUGUAUUUUUUCCCCUACAGUUUAAAGCUUCAAGUCAUCUUUGGAAAAUUAUUAGAUAGUUCCAGAGGACCAUCUGCAGCUUACAUUUACUUGGUACAAUGGUCCUUCAAUAAAAUGUAGAAGUUUUGACGCUUCUUUGGAUUUUGGAGUGGAAGGGAAAA